This 72-nucleotide transfer RNA is filed under the name Cricetulus griseus (Chinese hamster). It matches the Rfam family "tRNA". From Rfam's summary of the family: Transfer RNA (tRNA) molecules are approximately 80 nucleotides in length. Their secondary structure includes four short double-helical elements and three loops (D, anti-codon, and T loops). The record is from Rfam by way of RNAcentral. Lineage: Eukaryota; Metazoa; Chordata; Mammalia; Rodentia; Cricetidae.
GGGCACAUAGCUCAAUGGUAGAGCUCAUGCUUAAUAGGCAUGUAGCUCUUGGCUCAAUGCCCAGUACCACCA